RNAcentral lists this long non-coding RNA (273 nucleotides) under Salvia miltiorrhiza (redroot sage). RNAcentral's name for it is "long non-coding RNA (SMIL_LNC013719)". The record is from RNAcentral. Lineage: Eukaryota; Viridiplantae; Streptophyta; Magnoliopsida; Lamiales; Lamiaceae.
CAUUAUAGGCGUAGUUUGAGUGGUAGGUAUAAUGUUGAUCCCACAAAAAGUUGGUGUAGCUUGUCAUUUUGUCACGGUAAAAAAAAAAAAAUUGGGGGUGGACUUUUUUUGUGAAAGGUAAAUGAGUUUUAUUAAGGUAAGAAAAGUACCAACAAUACCACUCUUUUCAAACUGGAGAAGUUACAGAAUCUGCACACAGCACCAACCCAACCAAAAUACAAUAAAAAACACCCCUUCAGACUAGACUAGUUACAGAACCAACAAACAUCGCCA